CCUACGGGGGGCUGCAGUGGGGAAUAUUGCACAAUGGGCGCAAGCCUGAUGCAGCCAUGCCGCGUGUGUGAAGAAGGCCUUCGGGUUGUAAAGCACUUUCAGCGGGGAGGAAGGCGGUGAGGUUAAUAACCUCAUCGAUUGACGUUACCCGCAGAAGAAGCACCGGCUAACUCCGUGCCAGCAGCCGCGGUAAUACGGAGGGUGCAAGCGUUAAUCGGAAUUACUGGGCGUAAAGCGCACGCAGGCGGUCUGUCAAGUCGGAUGUGAAAUCCCCGGGCUCAACCUGGGAACUGCAUUCGAAACUGGCAGGCUAGAGUCUUGUAGAGGGGGGUAGAAUUCCAGGUGUAGCGGUGAAAUGCGUAGAGAUCUGGAGGAAUACCGGUGGCGAAGGCCGCCCCCUGGACAAAGACUGACGCUCAGGUGCGAAAGCGUGGGGAGCAAACAGGAUUAGAUACCCUAGUAGUC
RNAcentral lists this ribosomal RNA (465 nucleotides) under uncultured Klebsiella sp. Its description in RNAcentral is "bacterial SSU rRNA". It matches the Rfam family "Bacterial small subunit ribosomal RNA", at positions 338 to 795 of the family's 1533-position model. Lineage: Bacteria; Pseudomonadati; Pseudomonadota; Gammaproteobacteria; Enterobacterales; Enterobacteriaceae. The record is from RNAcentral.